This 480-nucleotide ribosomal RNA is filed under the name uncultured bacterium. RNAcentral's name for it is "bacterial SSU rRNA". It matches the Rfam family "Bacterial small subunit ribosomal RNA", at positions 355 to 850 of the family's 1533-position model. The record is from RNAcentral.
UGGGGAAUCUUGGACAAUGGGGGCAACCCUGAUCCAGCCAUGCCGCGUGAGUGAUGAAGGCCUUAGGGUCGUAAAGCUCUUUCGCCUGUGAAGAUAAUGACGGUAGCAGGUAAAGAAACCCCGGCUAACUCCGUGCCAGCAGCCGCGGUAAUACGGAGGGGGUUAGCGUUGUUCGGAAUUACUGGGCGUAAAGCGCACGUAGGCGGACCAGAAAGUUGGGGGUGAAAUCCCGGGGGCUCAACCCCGGAACUGCCUCCAAAACUAUUGGUCUAGAGUUCGAGAGAGGUGAGUGGAAUUCCAAGUGUAGAGGUGAAAUUCGUAGAUAUUUGGAGGAACACCAGUGGCGAAGGCGGCUCACUGGCUCGAUACUGACGCUGAGGUGCGAAAGUGUGGGGAGCAAACAGGAUUAGAUACCCUGGGUAGUCCACGCCGUAAAACGAUGAGUGCUAGUCGUCGGCAGGCAUGCCUGUCGGUGACGCA